This 77-nucleotide transfer RNA is filed under the name Mycobacterium phage Rizal. RNAcentral describes it as "tRNA-Lys". It matches the Rfam family "tRNA". From Rfam's summary of the family: Transfer RNA (tRNA) molecules are approximately 80 nucleotides in length. The record is from RNAcentral. Lineage: Duplodnaviria; Heunggongvirae; Uroviricota; Caudoviricetes. RNAcentral also lists the same sequence under 47 other names.
GGGCCGGUAUCUUAGUCUGGUCAAAGAAGUGGACUUUUAAUCCGCGCGCCGUGGGUUCGAAUCCCACCCGGCCCACC